This 275-nucleotide ribosomal RNA is filed under the name uncultured bacterium. Its description in RNAcentral is "partial 16S ribosomal RNA". It matches the Rfam family "Bacterial small subunit ribosomal RNA", at positions 523 to 796 of the family's 1533-position model. The record is from RNAcentral.
AUACGGAGGGUGCAAGCGUUAUCCGGAAUUAUUGGGUUUAAAGGGUCCGUAGGCGGCUAGAUAAGUCAGUGGUGAAAUUCUCUCGCUCAACGAGAGACCUGCCAUUGAUACUGUCUUGGCUCGAGUUACAGUGAGGUGAGUGGAAUGCGUAGUGUAGCGGUGAAAUGCAUAGAUAUUACACAGAACACCGAUUGCGAAGGCAGCUCACUAACUGUAUACUGACGCUGAUGGACGAAAGCGUGGGGAGCAAACAGGAUUAGAUACCCUAGUAGUCC